AUGGUGCGAGGCCUGCCAUGCCUUGACCAUGUGGAGCAGUUCUGCGACAUCUGCGUACUGACAAAGCAGAGACGACUCCCCUUUCCCCAACAGGCGAGUUUUCGGGCUAAGGAGAAGCUGGAGCUCGUGCACGGAGACCUGUGCGGCCCGGUGACGCCAGCCACACCAGGAGGUCGAUGCUACUUCCUGCUGCUCGUCGACGAUCUCUCCCGCUACAUGUGGGUGAUGAUCCUCGGCAGUAAGGGAGAAGCGGCGGACGCCAUCAGGCGCGCGCAGGUUGGUGUGGAGGCGGAGAGCGGCCACAAACUGCGCGUGUUGCGCACUGACAACGGCAGCGAGUUCACGGCGGCUGAAUUCGCGUCGUACUGUGCCGAUGAGGGCAUCCAGCGCCACUACUCCGCGCCAUACAGCCCGCAGCAAAACGGCAGAGGGAUGCCGGCUGUCUUCUGGGGAGAGGCGGUGCUAACGGCCGUCUACAUCCUCAACCGCUCUCCUACUAAGGCACUCGACGGCAGAACUCCGUACGAGGCCUGGCAUGGGCGGAAGCCGGCGGUCUCUCAUUUGCGGGUCUUUGGCUGCCUUGCGUUCGCCAAGGAGCUCGGCCACAUCGGCAAGCUCGACGACAGGAGCACUCCGGGAGUCUUCAUCGGCUACGCGGAGGGCUCAAAGGCCUACCGCAUCCUCGACCCAAAGACACAACGUGUGCGCACAGCGCGAGACGUCGUGUUCAACGAAGGGCAAGGGUGGCAAUGGGACAAGGCGGUGGACAACGGCUCGACACCGACGUAUGACGACUUCAUUGUCGAGUACGUCCACUUCAAGGAAGCUGGGGGAGCAAACAGCUCCUCUUCACCGGGCACGUCUACUCCGGCCCCAACUACAUCGACUCCGGCGCCUGCUACACCGACGACACCACAACCGGCGACGCCGCAUACUCCAGCCCCGGCGGUCGCCACUCCGGGCUCGUCUUCAUCAGCACCAGCUCACGCAGAGCACAACCCGAUGAAGUUCGCUUCCCUGCUCACUCACGACGAGGAGCGGGUCGACGCAUGGUAUGGAGGCGAACAGCUGCGGUAUCGCACGAUGGAUGAUCUACUCGGCGACCAGCCGGUGCCGGGACUGAUGCCACGUGACCUGGAGGCGCAGCUACAACUCGCGUGUGAGGACGGCGAACCACGGUCCUUUGCAGAGGCCGAGAGAGACGCGGCAUGGUGCACCGCGAUGCAGUUGGAGAUGGAUGCGGUCGAGCAAAACCGCACCUGGGAGCUCGCUGAUCUCCCUCGAGGUCACCGCGCAAUCACCCUUAAGUGGGUGUUCAAGCUGAAGAGGGAUGGAGCCGGCGCCAUCAUCAAGCACAAGGCUCGCUUGGUGGCCCGAGGCUUCUUGCAGCAGGAAGGAGUCGACUUCGACGACGCUUUCGCUCCCGUGGCACGGAUGGAGUCCGUGCGACUUCUCCUUGCGCUGGCUGCCCAGGAGGGCUGGCGUGUCCACCACAUGGAUGUUAAGUCGACAUUCCUCAAUGGCGACUUGAAGGAGGAAGUCUACAUGCAUCAGCCACCUGGAUUUACGAUUCCCGGCCAGGAGGGCAAGGUGCUCCGCCUGCGCAAGGCUCUCUAUGGCCUGCGGCAGGCACCCAGGGCGUGGAACGCCAAGCUGGACUCCACGCUGAAGAAGAUGGGUUUCGAGCAGAGCCCGCAUGAGGCUGCCGUCUACCGACGGGGGAGUGGAGGAAAUGCCCUGCUGGUGGGCGUCUACGUUGACGACCUGGUGAUCACCGGCACCAAAGGUGCAGAGGUGGCGGCGUUCAAGGAAGACAUGAAGGCCACGUUCCAGAUGAGUGACCUGGGGCUCCUCUCCUUCUAUCUAGGGAUUGAGCUCACUCCGAUGGAGGAGAGGCUGAAACUGAGUUGCGACAGCACGACGGAGGAAGUGGAUGCUACGUAG
RNAcentral lists this ribosomal RNA (1944 nucleotides) under Triticum aestivum (bread wheat). Its description in RNAcentral is "partial small subunit ribosomal RNA". Lineage: Eukaryota; Viridiplantae; Streptophyta; Magnoliopsida; Poales; Poaceae. The record is from RNAcentral.